CUAGAUACAAGCGAGCGGCGGACGGGUGAGUAACACGUGGGUAACCUGCCCAAGAGACUGGGAUAACACCUGGAAACAGAUGCUAAUACCGGAUAACAACACUAGACGCAUGUCUAGAGUUUGAAAGAUGGUUCUGCUAUCACUCUUGGAUGGACCUGCGGUGCAUUAGCUAGUUGGUAAGGUAACGGCUUACCAAGGCAAUGAUGCAUAGCCGAGUUGAGAGACUGAUCGGCCACAUUGGGACUGAGACACGGCCCAAACUCCUACGGGAGGCAGCAGUAGGGAAUCUUCCACAAUGGACGAAAGUCUGAUGGAGCAACGCCGCGUGAGUGAAGAAGGGUUUCGGCUCGUAAAGCUCUGUCGGUAGUGAAGAAAGAUAGAGGUAGUAACUGGCCUUUAUUUGACGGUAAUUACUUAGAAAGUCACGGCUAACUACGUGCCAGCAGCCGCGGUAAUACGUAGGUGGCAAGCGUUGUCCGGAUUUAUUGGGCGUAAAGCGAGUGCAGGCGGUUCAAUAAGUCUGAUGUGAAAGCCUUCGGCUCAACCGGAGAAUUGCAUCAGAAACUGUUGAACUUGAGUGCAGAAGAGGAGAGUGGAACUCCAUGUGUAGCGGUGGAAUGCGUAGAUAUAUGGAAGAACACCAGUGGCGAAGGCGGCUCUCUGGUCUGCAACUGACGCUGAGGCUCGAAAGCAUGGGUAGCGAACAGGAUUAGAUACCCUGGUAGUCCAUGCCGUAAACGAUGAGUGCUAAGUGUUGGGAGGUUUCCGCCUCUCAGUGCUGCAGCUAACGCAUUAAGCACUCCGCCUGGGGAGUACGACCGCAAGGUUGAAACUCAAAGGAAUUGACGGG
RNAcentral lists this ribosomal RNA (850 nucleotides) under uncultured bacterium. RNAcentral's name for it is "bacterial SSU rRNA". It matches the Rfam family "Bacterial small subunit ribosomal RNA", at positions 80 to 917 of the family's 1533-position model. The record is from RNAcentral.